Molecule: long non-coding RNA, 3066 nt
Organism: Felis catus (domestic cat)
Lineage: Eukaryota; Metazoa; Chordata; Mammalia; Carnivora; Felidae
Exons: 2
Source: RefSeq, a predicted model, not a curated record
GGGUGGACUGAAAGCUUGAAAAUCUCUGGCAAGGGGGAAUUUAGAAGGCUUUGAAGCAUGGGAGUGGCUGAGCAGAACUCUGUAAAUAAUCCCAGCAGCCACUCAGAGGAAGGCUGGGCAGUUCAGGAUGAGGAAGGAUCACUCAGGAGGAUCCCUGCCACCACAGAGUUGAUGGAAGAGGGUGGAAGUCUGACCUGAGGCUGUGGCAAGGGUGACAGGCAGGAAUGGGGGAGAUGAACUUCAAGCAAGGCCCCAGGUUUCUGGCCGGGGUGACUGUGCAGAUAAAGAAUAAGGGAGAAAGAGCAGGCACGUCAGGAUGGAGGAGCACCAGUGUAUGGUUCGGGAUUUGACGGUUCCAGUGAUUCUGUCUUUACUAAUACAACCCACAUUUAUAAUUGGACCCAGUGAAUUCUGGCCUUUCUUCUGCUUAGGGUUUUCCCUAGAUGUCACUGAGGGAAAAAGAAGCUUCUUUCAUCCAGUUAGUAAGAAAUAAGUAGUAAACUAGUGGCUCCUGACUCCCACUCCCCAAGGUUGGCAGAGAACUUCCAGGGAGGGCACCCUUAAACAUGAACUUAUUACAGAUUACAGAUGGUGCCUUGUGAUAAUUGACAGCACAGUGAAGAAGAGGUUGUGGGAGCAAACCACCCCUGCUAGGGGAAACCACUGAUGAUUCAUCUUUGCCCUGUGCUGAUUGAUUCUACUAAAAACUCAGACAUUCCCUGAAUAAUUUUAUAUAGUUCUUGCAGCUUGUUCAGUGAUAAGGAAUUCUUUGCAGAAAGUAUUUCUUUCUAAGGUCCCUUCUCUUUGCCUUGUUCUGGGCAAAGAGACCAAAUGACCUAUCGUGUUAUUGACAUCUGUGAGCUCUUGAAAGCUAUUUGCCUUUCUUCAUUAACAGAAAUCCAACAGGGAACAUUUUAUUUUUGUCUUAACUUCUCAAGUUUCUUUUUUCUUUUCAAAUUAUAAACUGAUGGUUUGUUCCAGGGUAAUGAAAUAUAGUUGUAUACAAAAUAUAUAGUCAUAUAAUUGCUAGCUAUAAUAAAAUUCCGAGAUUGCCAGAAUCUUCACAUUCACCCUUACAUGGGACCUAGACUGCAUCUGAGAAUGUGACAGAAAAGGAAACGUAGCUGUACUCGCCUGACUUUGUACCUCCCAGGGUUUGGUUAUAGCUGACAGAUCACAUGCAGUCAUCAUCAUUGCCCUUAGAAGAAAACAAAAGUUGUUAAAAUAGAAAGACAUAAAAAAUAAGGUGGUUUUUUUUUGUUUUUUUUUUGUUUUGUUGUGUGUGUGUGUGUUUGUUUUUUGUUUUUUGCCAAAAGAGGAAUAAAAUUCUCACUACUCACAUUAUAACCUCUUUUUUGGUUGGAUCAAUGGUUACAUAUUUGACGGCCUCUUCCUCGGUUUCCAUUUUUUCACAGGCAUCAACAAUUUUUUGAAACAUGGUUCUCUUCCUAAAAAAGAUACAGCUGUGCAACGAUUAUAGCAUAUAAGACCAGAGAUUUUAAAAAAGUAUCUUUAAUAUGCGCUUCUCAGAGUUAAAGUUCCCACUUUGCAUCAGAUGUUUACAUAGUGGAUCUAAAGGGUCAGGGAAUAAGAGACUAAAUGGCUGCUAACCGUUGGCACAGAAAGGGUUUAAGACAGGAAAACCACCAGCCACAGAAAGGGAAAAAAUUGGUACGCACUUCAGAGAAACUCUCACGUGUACAAGGACAUACGAUGUGGUAUUGUCAACAAUAAUGAAAAGUAGGAAAUGAUCUAAAUGUCCAUGAAUAGAAGAAUGGUUAAAUUAAUUAUGGCAUGUUCAUAAAGCUGAAUAUACAGUUCAAAUGAAUGAACUGGAUCUUCAUUUACCACCAAGGUAAAUCUUUAAAACAUAUUGCAUGAAAAAGCAAGUUGCGGAAAAGUAUGUACAAGAUGAAACCAUUUAUGGAAAAUUUUAAAACGCACGUAACAAUACCACAUGAAAACGUGGAUGGAAAGGACAGAUACACAGCAUCAGGAUGAUGAUGACUGUGAGGGGAAAGGGAGGGGUUUUUCAUGGUAGAGUGGGUUCGAAUGCCUCGACUGCAUUUUUUUUUUCCUUAAAAAAAAAAAAAGACCUCAGGUGUGGCAAAAUCUUAGCAUUUGUUGAAUCUGGGUCAUGGAUAUUUGGUAUAUGUGCUGCCGAAGCGAGCACUGGGUCAUGGAUAUUUGGAUAUCAAUUAUAUUCUUUCAAGUAUCUGUCUUCAUCUUUGAACUAUUAAAUAGUUUUUUAAUUAAGAAGGAUCAGAGAGGCACGAUUUGAUACUACCCAUGUAAGUCAUUAAAUAGUUGGAUAUUAUAACUAGUUCACCUUGUCCUAAUCCAUUUUGCCAAGCAACUCUAUAGUUCACUGACAAAAUGGGCAGCAGCUCGGAGUAUCCGGUCUCCUUGGUCAUUUCUGUAGUGCUCUGCUGUACAUAACUCAGAAUUAUGUGAGUUUGGUUAACGUGCAUCCAUGUGAUCAAGGUUUUUUAGCUCCGAGUCUCCAGCAGAGCCAAAUGUCUGAGCCUGCAACUCUAAAUACCAGACUCUGGACCAUGAUGACUCCACCAGACCAAAAUGCUCCUCAAAGGCUUUGCGGCAUCACCCUUCUGGCAGGUACACCAACUUCACCGUGCAUUCCUCAAACUUCUUCAAUAACAAACUAAUCAACAGCAGGGAUUCGUUUUUUUAAAUGUAUUUUCAGAUGUCUAGUAAACUCACUGUCAGUACCUUGAAGGUAUUCUACUGAUGUUCCAAAAGGAAAAUGAAUAACUGUGUGUGUGAAUAAAUGCCUUUUGACUUGAAUGCAGUGGAUCAUUUAUGUGAGGCAGAAACACAUAGUGUAGGGGCGUUCUGUACUUACUUGAAGUAUAAAGCCAGGUCAGUUGCUAUUAUUGCAACUUCAAACAAAUGAAUAACUGUUUCAAACUGGCGUUUAUUUAGGUUCUGGAAGAUGUUUAAACUCUGUAAGAUAAAAAUUCACAAUAAAGUGCAAUCAUGAAUUUGUCUUGGUUCAACAAAUAAGCCAAACUAUGUUUAACAAAAUAAAGAUUAUUGGCACAGAGA